AGUAACACGUGAGCAACCUGCCUUUCAGUGGGGGACAACAUUUGGAAACGAAUGCUAGUACCGCAUAAGACCACAGUGUCGCAUGGCACAGGGGUCAAAGGAUUUAUCCGCUGAAAGAUGGGCUCGCGUCCGAUUAGCUAGAUGGUGAGGUAACGGCCCACCAUGGCGACGAUCGGUAGCCGGACUGAGAGGUUGAACGGCCACAUUGGGACUGAGACACGGCCCAGACUCCUACGGGAGGCAGCAUG
RNAcentral lists this ribosomal RNA (248 nucleotides) under uncultured bacterium. RNAcentral's name for it is "partial 16S ribosomal RNA". It matches the Rfam family "Bacterial small subunit ribosomal RNA", at positions 109 to 353 of the family's 1533-position model. The record is from RNAcentral.